Molecule: ribosomal RNA, 253 nt
Filed under: uncultured bacterium
Lineage: Bacteria
Description: partial 16S ribosomal RNA
Rfam family: Bacterial small subunit ribosomal RNA
Source: RNAcentral
UACGGAGGGUGCAAACGUUGCUCGGAAUUAUUGGGCGUAAAGCGCACGUAGGCGGACUAUCAAGUCGGAUGUGAAAGCCCUCAGCUUAACUGAGGAAGUGCACUCGAAACUGACAGUCUUGAGUACGGGAGAGGGUCGCGGAAUUCCCGGUGUAGAGGUGAAAUUCGUAGAGAUCGGCAGGAACACCCAGGGGGAAACCAGUCGACUGGGCAUCUACUGACGCUGAGGUGCGAGAGCGUGGGGAGCGAACCGG